GGACGAACGCUGGCGGCGUGCUUAACACAUGCAAGUCGAGCGGGUAAGGCCCUUUCGGGGGUACACGAGCGGCGAACGGGUGAGUAACACGUGGGUGACCUGCCCUUAGCUCUGGGAUAAGCCUGGGAAACUGGGUCUAAUACCGGAUAUGACUCCAUGACGCAUGUUGUGGGGUGGAAAGCCUUGUGCGGCUAGGGGAUGGGCCCGCGGCCUAUCAGCUUGUUGGUGGGGUGAUGGCCUACCAAGGCGACGACGGUAGCCGGCCUGAGAGGGCGACCGGCCACACUGGGACUGAGACACGGCCCAGACUCCUACGGGAGGCAGCAGUGGGAAUCUUGCGCAAUGGCGAAAGCCUGACGCAGCGACGCCGCGUGA
This 375-nucleotide ribosomal RNA is filed under the name uncultured bacterium. RNAcentral's name for it is "bacterial SSU rRNA". It matches the Rfam family "Bacterial small subunit ribosomal RNA", at positions 27 to 404 of the family's 1533-position model. The record is from RNAcentral.